GAGAACGCUGGCGGCACGCCUAACACAUGCAAGUCGAACGGAGAAGAACAGCUUGCUGUUCUUUUAGUGGCGGACGGGUGAGUAACACGUGAGCAACCUGCCUUUAAGAGAGGAAUAACGCUCGGAAACGAACGCUAAUACCUCAUAACAUAUUUUUAUCGCAUGGUAGAAAUAUCAAAGAUUUAUCGCUUAGAGAUGGGCUCGCGUCUGAUUAGCUAGUUGGUGAGGUAACGGCUCACCAAGGCGACGAUCUGUAGCUGGUCUGAGAGGACGACCAGCCACACUGGAACUGAGACACGGUCCAGACUCCUACGGGAGGCAGCAGUGGGGAAUUUUGGACAAUGGGCGCAAGCCUGAUCCAGCAAUGCCGCGUGCAGGAUGAAGGCCUUCGGGUUGUAAACUGCUUUUGUACGGAGCGAAACGGUCUGCCCUAAUACGGUGGGCUAAUGACGGUACCGUAAGAAUAAGCACCGGCUAACUACGUG
RNAcentral lists this ribosomal RNA (485 nucleotides) under uncultured bacterium. RNAcentral's name for it is "bacterial SSU rRNA". It matches the Rfam family "Bacterial small subunit ribosomal RNA", at positions 31 to 507 of the family's 1533-position model. The record is from RNAcentral.